AGCCUUGAGGUGUUAUAACAUACGGGAUUGCAAAUCCCGAGUAGUAGAUUGAAGUCUACCGGGGCUU
Molecule: transfer RNA, 67 nt
Filed under: Crystallogobius linearis (crystal goby)
Lineage: Eukaryota; Metazoa; Chordata; Actinopteri; Gobiiformes; Gobiidae
Description: tRNA-Cys
Source: RNAcentral